UACGAAGGGGGCUAGCGUUGCUCGGAAUGACUGGGCGUAAAGGGCGCGUAGGCGGAUGGCACAGUCAGAUGUGAAAUUCCUGGGCUUAACCUGGGGGCUGCAUUUGAUACGUGUGAUCUAGAGUGAGGAAGAGAGUUGUGGAAUUCCCAGUGUAGAGGUGAAAUUCGUAGAUAUUGGGAAGAACACCGGUGGCGAAGGCGGCGACCUGGUCCUUAACUGACGCUGAGGCGCGAAAGCGUGGGGAGCAAACAGG
RNAcentral lists this ribosomal RNA (253 nucleotides) under uncultured bacterium. RNAcentral describes it as "partial 16S ribosomal RNA". It matches the Rfam family "Bacterial small subunit ribosomal RNA", at positions 524 to 776 of the family's 1533-position model. The record is from RNAcentral.